Non-coding RNA from Xylariaceae sp. FL0255, 96 nucleotides. The record is from the annotation of a GenBank genome assembly. Lineage: Eukaryota; Fungi; Ascomycota; Sordariomycetes; Xylariales; Xylariaceae.
GGUCGGUUAGCUCAGUUGGUUAGAGCGUCGUACUAAUAUAGAAUCUCCUAUAUCAAGUAAAUGCGAAGGUCAUGAGUUCGACCCUCAUACUGACCA